Molecule: non-coding RNA, 256 nt
Organism: Pelobates cultripes (western spadefoot toad)
Lineage: Eukaryota; Metazoa; Chordata; Amphibia; Anura; Pelobatidae
Source: the annotation of a GenBank genome assembly
CAUGCCCUGAGCUCUUGUACAUAAGGAAGGUUGAACAUUGCUUCCAGCUUCUGGUAAUAGAUAUCUAUUUAUUGAUUUAUUGACCGUCAGUUACUUCUUGCCUUAAAGGUUUGGAUGAGUUAAAUCCUAAACGAGAAUCUUUGGAGCAAGAACUUAGAUGUUUGCAAUCCAGUGUAGCUGCACUGAAAAAUGGUGAGUAAUGUAAAAACAUUUUAUAUGCUGUACAGUAUUAUUUAUAGCUGCAUACAGCUUAAAA